UAAACGGAAGCCAAUUAGGCAUUUAUCUGUUACAUAAACCUCUGCUCCAUAAGCCCGUUUAG
Molecule: transfer RNA, 62 nt
Filed under: Nectoneanthes multignatha
Lineage: Eukaryota; Metazoa; Annelida; Polychaeta; Phyllodocida; Nereididae
Description: tRNA-Asn
Source: RNAcentral